This 57-nucleotide transfer RNA is filed under the name Planctomycetaceae bacterium. RNAcentral describes it as "tRNA-Leu". It matches the Rfam family "tRNA", at positions 17 to 71 of the family's 71-position model. Rfam says of the family: Transfer RNA (tRNA) molecules are approximately 80 nucleotides in length. Lineage: Bacteria; Pseudomonadati; Planctomycetota; Planctomycetia; Planctomycetales; Planctomycetaceae. The record is from RNAcentral.
GGUUAGAGCGCCACGUUGACAUCGUGGAAGUCACUGGUUCAAAUCCAGUAUCGUCCA